GCGCCCGUAGCUCAGUGGAUAGAGCGCCGGCCUCCGGAGCCGGGUGCGGCAGUUCGACUCUGCCCGGGCGCACCA
RNAcentral lists this transfer RNA (75 nucleotides) under Selenomonadales bacterium. Its description in RNAcentral is "tRNA-Arg". It matches the Rfam family "tRNA". Rfam says of the family: Transfer RNA (tRNA) molecules are approximately 80 nucleotides in length. Their secondary structure includes four short double-helical elements and three loops (D, anti-codon, and T loops). Lineage: Bacteria; Bacillati; Bacillota; Negativicutes; Selenomonadales. The record is from RNAcentral.